Cynoglossus semilaevis (tongue sole) is the source of this 976-nucleotide long non-coding RNA. RefSeq lists it as uncharacterized. The transcript is spliced from 3 exons. NCBI's taxonomy places the organism in Eukaryota, Metazoa, Chordata, Actinopteri, Pleuronectiformes, Cynoglossidae. The record is from RefSeq and is a predicted model, not a curated record.
UAUUUUAAAAAAUAAACUAUUAUAGUAGAUCCAGAGGUGGCUACAUUUCUGAACAUAUUGAUUUGGUCAUUACAUCAAUUUUUUUGCAAAGGCUUGUUUCCCUCGCGAGAUCUGGCAACCCACGCCGAGCUCGGACUACGCUCUCGCUCACACGCUGUGCUAACGCCCGUAGUCAGUUCGUUCCGUUUGUGUUUGACAACAAGAUCGUGUUUGCUGAUACUUUUAUCAUACACCCCAAUCUUCAAAAGUCUGUUGAAGUAUUUUAUAAAAGUGUGAAAUAUCGACCUUUCUUUUUCUGUUCGCACACAAAAACCCAUUAAUUAACGCGAGGAAACCUAUACCAUUCCGCACCUGCGGGGGCAGACCUGAGACUAAGAGUGCCUUUUUGUUCUUCUACUCUCCAAGUGAGCAAUGUCAGAAAGUCAGGUUCAUUGUAGCGGCUCGUGUAUUUGUUUGUUUAUGUUUAUUUGUCAGAAUUCCUUAAAAAUACAGGGCAAUAACUCGCUUCGUUCAAACGCAGAAUCACACGCGAAUAUUGACAACUGUAAUAAAGCCAUUUCGAACGGAGAGAAAAUAACGAGGACUUUUAAACAAAGUAAUGGAAAUAUUCGUGACGGGAACAGAGCGGCGUUCUUUAACGAAUAAAGGCUCUUCAACACUGGAAAACCAAUCAAACGGCUGGUUCUGUCAACGACACCACAGUAACUCAGUGUCUCGGAAAGAAAAUCUAAAGAAAAUAGCAUCAGAAACAUUGACAUGUUUCCAUUUCUACCACCAAUCACUGGAGGUCGCUCACCCUGUUCAGUGAGUGAUAUCCAUUCUCCAUCCUGUCAAGCAGGUUGAAGAGACGGGCGUCUGUCGCCACCUCCUUCUUCAUCCUCUGCCCAAAACAUAAGAAAUGAACAAGAAAUACAAACGUGAACGAACACAAUUAAAAUGCAGCGACAAGUCGUUCAAUCCUCCCUGCAGCCUCACC